This 119-nucleotide ribosomal RNA is filed under the name Scophthalmus maximus (turbot). Lineage: Eukaryota; Metazoa; Chordata; Actinopteri; Pleuronectiformes; Scophthalmidae. The record is from RNAcentral.
GCUUAUGGCCACACAGCCUGGUUCACUCCUGAUCUCGUUUGAUCUCGGAAGCUAAGAUAGGUUGGGCCUGGUUAGUACUUGGAUGGGAGACCGUCUGGGAAUACCAGGUGCUGUAUGCU